UUCGGACUGUAGUCUGCAACCCGACUACACGAAGCUGGAAUCGCUAGUAAUCGCGAAUCAGAAUGUCGCGGUGAAUACGUUCCCGGGUCUUGUACACACCGCCCGUCACACCAUGGGAGUCAGUAACGCCCGAAGUCCGUAGCCUAACCGCAAGGGGGGCGCGGCCGAAGGUGGGUUCGAUAAUUGGGGUGAAGUCGUAACAAGGUAUC
Molecule: ribosomal RNA, 209 nt
Filed under: uncultured bacterium
Lineage: Bacteria
Description: partial 16S ribosomal RNA
Rfam family: Bacterial small subunit ribosomal RNA
Source: RNAcentral